AACUGCUUUUAUGCGGGUAUAAAGGAGCAUACGUGUAUGUUUUUGCAGUUACCGCAUGAAUAAGGACCGGCUAAUUCCGUGCCAGCAGCCGCGGUAAUACGGAAGGUUCUGGUGUUAUCCGGAUUUAUUGGGUUUAAAGGGAGCGCAGGCUGUCAGAUAAGCGUGUUGUGAAAUGCGGUUGCUCAACAUCCGCACUGCAGCGCGAACUGUUUGACUUGAGUACGCACGACGUUGGUGGAAUUUGCCGUGUAGCGGUGAAAUGCUUAGAUAUGGCGAAGAACUCCGAUUGCGAAGGCAGCUGACGGGAGCGCUACUGACGCUCAUGCUCGAAAGUGCGGGUAUCGAACAGGAUUAGAUACCCUGGUAGUCC
RNAcentral lists this ribosomal RNA (370 nucleotides) under uncultured Prevotella sp. RNAcentral describes it as "bacterial SSU rRNA". It matches the Rfam family "Bacterial small subunit ribosomal RNA", at positions 428 to 796 of the family's 1533-position model. The record is from RNAcentral. Lineage: Bacteria; Pseudomonadati; Bacteroidota; Bacteroidia; Bacteroidales; Prevotellaceae.